This 439-nucleotide ribosomal RNA is filed under the name uncultured bacterium. RNAcentral's name for it is "partial 16S ribosomal RNA". It matches the Rfam family "Bacterial small subunit ribosomal RNA", at positions 339 to 795 of the family's 1533-position model. The record is from RNAcentral.
CUACGGGUUGCUGCAGUGAGGAAUAUUGCACAAUGGGGGGAACCCUGAUGCAGCAACGCCGCGUGGAGGAUGACGCAUUUCGGUGUGUAAACUCCUUUUAUAUGUCAAGAAAAUGACGGUAGCAUAUGAAUAAGCACCGGCUAACUCCGUGCCAGCAGCCGCGGUAAUACGGAGGGUGCAAGCGUUACUCGGAAUCACUGGGCGUAAAGGACGCGUGGGCGGGCUUGUAAGUCAGGUGUGAAAUCCUACAGCUUAACUGUAGAACUGCACUUGAAACUACGAGCCUAGAGUAUGGGAGGGGGAGAUGGAAUUAGUGGUGUAGGGGUAAAAUCCGUAGAUAUCACUAGGAAUACCUAAAGCGAAGGCGAUCUCCUGGAACAUUACUGACGCUAAGGCGUGAAAGCGUGGGGAGCAAACAGGAUUAGAUACCCCCGUAGUC